AAACCAACAGGGAUUGCCCUAGUAACGGCGAGUGAAGCGGCAACAGCUCAAAUUUGAAAUCUGGCCUCGGCCCGAGUUGUAAUUUGCAGAGGAUGCUUCUGGCGCGGUGCCUCCUGAGUCCCCUGGAACGGGGCGCCACAGAGGGUGAGAGCCCCGUAUAGUUGGACGCCAAGCCUGUGUGAAGCUCCUUCGACGAGUCGAGUAGUUUGGGAAUGCUGCUCUAAAUGGGAGGUAAAUUCCUUCUAAAGCUAAAUACCGGCCAGAGACCGAUAGCGCACAAGUAGAGUGAUCGAAAGAUGAAAAGCACUUUGAAAAGAGAGUCAAACAGCACGUGAAAUUGUUGAAAGGGAAGCGCUUCUGACCAGACUCGUGCCGGGCCGAUCCGCCAGCGUUCUCGCUGGCGUACUCGGUCCGGCCCGGGCCAGCAUCGGUUUCCGUAGGGGGAUAAAAGCGCCGGGAAUGUGGCUCUCCCGGGAGCGUUAUAGCCCGGCGCAUAAUACCCUUGUGGGGACCGAGGACCGCGAUUACGAGGAUGCUGGCGUAAUGGUUAGCAACGACCCGUCUUGAAACACGGACCAAGGAGUCAAGGUCUUGCGCGAGUGUUUGGGUGUAAAACCCGCACGCGUAAUGAAAGUGAACGUAGGUGAGAGCUUCGGCGCAUCACCGACCGAUCCUGAAGUUUACGGAUGGAUUUGAGUAAGAGCGUAGUGCCUUGGACCCGAAAGAUGGUGAACUAUGCUUGGAUAGGGUGAAGCCAGAGGAAACUCUGGUGGAGGCUCGCAGCGGUUCUGACGUGCAAAUCGAUCGUCAAAUCUGAGCAUGGGGCGAAAGACUAAUCG
This 839-nucleotide ribosomal RNA is filed under the name Clathrosporium retortum. Its description in RNAcentral is "eukaryotic LSU rRNA". It matches the Rfam family "Eukaryotic large subunit ribosomal RNA", at positions 62 to 937 of the family's 3401-position model. The record is from RNAcentral. Lineage: Eukaryota; Fungi; Ascomycota; Leotiomycetes; Helotiales; Gelatinodiscaceae.